CUGGACUGAGACACGGCCCAGACUCUACGGAAGCAGCAGUGGGAAUAUUGCACAAUGGGGGAAACCUGAUGCAGCGACGCCGCGUGAGGGAUGACGGCCUUCGGGUUGUAAACCUCUUUCAGUAGGGAAGAAGCCUUUCGAGGUGACGGUACCUGCAGAAGAAGUACCGGCUAACUACGUGCCAGCAGCCGCGGUAAUACGUAGGGUACAAGCGUUGUCCGGAAUUAUUGGGCGUAAAGAGCUCGUAGGCGGUCCGUCGCGUCUGCUGUGGAAACGCAAGGCUCAACCUUGCGCGUGCAGUGGGUACGGGCGGACUAGAGUGCAGUAGGGGAGUCUGGAAUUCCUGGUGUAGCGGUGAAAUGCGCAGAUAUCAGGAGGAACACCGGUGGCGAGGGCGGGACUCUGGGCUGUUACUGACGCUGAGGAGCGGAAGCAUGGGGAGCGAACAGGAUUAGAUACCCUGGUAGUCCAUGCCGUAAACGUUGGGCACUAGGUGUGGGGCUCAUUCCACGAGUUCCGCGCCGCAGCUAACGCAUUAAGUGCCCCGCCUGGGGAGUACGGCCGCAAGGCUAAAACUCAAAGGAAUUGACGGGGGCCCGCACAAGCGGCGGAGCAUGCGGAUUAAUUCGAUGCAACGCGAAGAACCUUACCAAGGCUUGACAUACACCGGAAUGUGCCAGAGAUGGUUCAGCCCUUUGGGCUGGUGUACAGGUGGUGCAUGGUUGUCGUCAGCUCGUGUCGUGAGAUGUUGGGUUAAGUCCCGCAACGAGCGCAACCCUCGUUCUAUGUUGCCAGCACGUGAUGGUGGGAACUCAUAGGAGACUGCCGGGGUCAACUCGGAGGAAGGUGGGGAUGACGUCAAAUCAUCAUGCCCUUUAUGUCUUGGGCUUCACGCAUGCUACAAUGGUCGGUACAAAGGGUUGCGAGACCGUGAGGUGGAGCGAAUCCCAGAAAGCCGAUCUCAGUUCGGAUCGUAGUCUGCAACUCGACUACGUGAAGUCGGAGUCGCUAGUAAUCGCAGAUCAGCACGUGCG
RNAcentral lists this ribosomal RNA (1034 nucleotides) under uncultured bacterium. RNAcentral's name for it is "bacterial SSU rRNA". It matches the Rfam family "Bacterial small subunit ribosomal RNA", at positions 312 to 1361 of the family's 1533-position model. The record is from RNAcentral.